AAAGAAUCUUCAAAGUGGCUGCAGGUGGUUCCAUCGAGUCAAUUGGGAUUGUUACUGGAUAAUAACACCUCUAGAAUUGCUGUUGGUCUUCGACUAGGUUCUCAAUUAUGCGAAGAACAUAAAUGUGUUUGUGGUGAGAUUGUUGCAAAAGAUGGUUUACAUGGUCUAUCAUGUGCUAAAUGUGCAGAAGGAAAAUUCGCUAGACAUGACAGUAUGAAUAUGAUUUUCUCUCAUGGUUUUUCUAGUGCAGGUAUUCCUAACAUAAUACAGCCACCUGGUAUCUCACGAGAUGAUGGUAAAAGACCUGAUGGAGUGACUUUGAUACCAUGGAGUCAUGGUAGAUCAUUGUUGUGGGAUGUAACUGUGAGAGAUACAAUGGCUGCAUCCUAUAUUACCGAUUCAUCAAAGAAAGCACGGUCAAUUGCUGACAGAGCGGAGAGGCAUAAACAUAAUCAUUAUAUGAAAUUAAAGCAAAAUUAUUUAUUCACUCCGCUUGCUUUCGAGACAUUAGGUUGCAUGGGUCCUGAAACGAAGAAAUUUGUGGACAAAUUGGGAUCAUUAAUGAAAAAGGCAACUGGUGAGGUUAGAUCAAAGGACUAUCUUUUGCAACGAAUUUCAAUCGCUAUCCAACGUGGAAACGCUGCCUGUAUUUUGGGCACAUUAGGGAAAAGCAGGAUAGAUGAUUUUUAUUUAUUGUAAAUUUAAUUUUAGAAAAGAUCGCUUUUUUACUGGCUGCGUCAUUAUUGUGAGCAGUCUUUUUUUGCGCAUUUAAUAAAAAAAAUUGUGUACAUGUACA
Bradysia coprophila is the source of this 796-nucleotide long non-coding RNA. Lineage: Eukaryota; Metazoa; Arthropoda; Insecta; Diptera; Sciaridae. The record is from RefSeq and is a predicted model, not a curated record.